AAAUGGGAAGACACCUGUAUAAAAUAAAGAGGCAGGUAGGCACAGUGAGGGCUGGAGAAAAAAAAGAAUGGAGGACAUAAAAGAUUUUUAAAGAAUAAACACCCAGUAGGAUUGAGACAGUGGAGUAUGCAAAGCAGAAAGAGAGGUUAUGAUUAACAAAUUAGGGCAAAGAACAAAUAAGGGCAUAAAAUAUCACAUUCAUGAAACUAAUAACUCAGACAGAACAUACCAGGCAUUAUGUUGUAAUAUCUAACAUGGCUUCUGUACUCCAGCCCAGUUGGUGGCAGUAAUGCACCAUAACGCCAUUAAAUAGAAGAAGAAGAAGAAGCAGCUGCGGUUUUAGCAGAGGCACUAACUGCACUUCCAUUUGACUCCACUAAAGGCACAGCGAGGUGAAAACAGCCACAUGAACUGCAGCUGCAUGUCCUCGUGAAUUUAUAUCAACGUUUGCCCUAAAGGAAAACCGACAGAUAAAGCAGAAGCACAUGAAAUAAAGACCUGUCUGGGGCAAGUCAGAAAAUGAUGCCAUUUCCUUCCCCCUCCAAAAGACAGAAAAGUGAGCUUUUCUCACUGCAGUGCCCUUAUCUGUAAAAACAGUGAUAAAGUUGGUGGUUAUUUGCAGCAGAUCCAUGGACUAACUCAGGGUUAUUGUUUAAUUGGUUCUCCAUUUUCUGAACUCUAAAUUUCAAAAGGAAAUUUAAGAAAAAAC
Pangasianodon hypophthalmus (striped catfish) is the source of this 709-nucleotide long non-coding RNA. RefSeq lists it as uncharacterized. The transcript has 3 exons. Lineage: Eukaryota; Metazoa; Chordata; Actinopteri; Siluriformes; Pangasiidae. The record is from RefSeq and is a predicted model, not a curated record.